AACGCGAAGAACCUUACCUACUCUUGACAUCCACGGAAUUUGGCAGAGAUGCCUUAGUGCCUUCGGGAACCGUGAGACAGGUGCUGCAUGGCUGUCGUCAGCUCGUGUUGUGAAAUGUUGGGUUAAGUCCCGCAACGAGCGCAACCCUUAUCCUUUGUUGCCAGCGAUUCGGUCGGGAACUCAAAGGAGACUGCCAGUGAUAAACUGGAGGAAGGUGGGGAUGACGUCAAGUCAUCAUGGCCCUUACGAGUAGGGCUACACACGUGCUACAAUGGCAUAUACAAAGAGAAGCGACCUCGCGAGAGCAAGCGGACCUCAUAAAGUAUGUCGUAGUCCGGAUUGGAGUCUGCAACUUGACUCCAUGAAGUCGGAAUCGCUAGUAAUCGUGGAUCAGAAUGCCACGGUGAAUACGUUCCCGGGUCUUGUACACACCG
RNAcentral lists this ribosomal RNA (434 nucleotides) under uncultured Citrobacter sp. Its description in RNAcentral is "bacterial SSU rRNA". It matches the Rfam family "Bacterial small subunit ribosomal RNA", at positions 958 to 1392 of the family's 1533-position model. The record is from RNAcentral. Lineage: Bacteria; Pseudomonadati; Pseudomonadota; Gammaproteobacteria; Enterobacterales; Enterobacteriaceae.